Molecule: long non-coding RNA, 505 nt
Filed under: Linum usitatissimum (flax)
Lineage: Eukaryota; Viridiplantae; Streptophyta; Magnoliopsida; Malpighiales; Linaceae
Description: long non-coding RNA (LUSI_LNC004137)
Source: RNAcentral
AUAGAAAGCAUGCCUUGCUUCUAUUAUUAUUAUUAUUUUUGAUUCAAUCAGCACCCUGCACAAACGACGAAACAUCUUUUUGAACUACUUUAUUACAAGAAUUAUUAUUCCAACACAUACAUCAUACCACAAAGUUUAAGCCAAAUAAAAAGGGGUAUGACGUUGUUGGCAGUUGAGAAAUUGAAAUCAGAGAAAUACCAGAGAGGACCUUAUAUACAGUAUACUGAUGAUGAUGAUGAUUGUGGAUGGGAUGGGAUGAGAUGAGAUAGAUGCAAUCUGCAACAAGACAUGAUGAUGAUGAUGAGUAGGAGCUGGGCUGUCUCUGGGUAGCUGCCGAAAAAGUUGAAUUUUGAACUUGCUUUUCUUUCUUUGAUAAAUAAUGGUGAGUUUGAUGGGCAUUAAAUGGGCACCCAGAAGAAGAAAAAAGACACUGAAACAAAGAAAGAAAGAGAGAGUGGUCAGAAAGAAGAACUCAGAUCAGAUGCCUUCAAAGUGUUACUGCUCC